UGGGGAAUAUUGGACAAUGGGCGCAAGCCUGAUCCAGCCAUGCCGCGUGAGUGAUGAAGGCCCUAGGGUUGUAAAGCUCUUUCACCGGUGAAGAUAAUGACGGUAACCGGAGAAGAAGCCCCGGCUAACUUCGUGCCAGCAGCCGCGGUAAUACGAAGGGGGCUAGCGUUGUUCGGAUUUACUGGGCGUAAAGCGCACGUAGGCGGACUUUUAAGUCAGGGGUGAAAUCCCGGGGCUCAACCCCGGAACUGCCUUUGAUACUGGAAGUCUGGAGUAUGGUAGAGGUGAGUGGAAUUCCGAGUGUAGAGGGGAAAUUCGUAGAUAUUCGGAGGAACACCAGUGGCGAAGGCGGCUCACUGGACCAUUACUGACGCUGAGGUGCGAAAGCGUGGGGAGCAAACAGG
Molecule: ribosomal RNA, 404 nt
Filed under: Actinomycetes bacterium
Lineage: Bacteria; Bacillati; Actinomycetota; Actinomycetes
Description: Actinobacteria bacterium partial 16S ribosomal RNA
Rfam family: Bacterial small subunit ribosomal RNA
Source: RNAcentral